AAGUCGUAACAAGGUUUCCGUAGGUGAACCUGCGGAAGGAUCAUUAUUGAGAUACGAGUUUGUCCUCGGACAACUCUAAUCUACAGUGUUGUGUGAACUUGCCUGAUUACUUGGUUGGAAGUGGACUGGUUAUUGAUUGGAUUCGGGGAUGUUGUUUCGCGCAAUGUCCUAGAGCCGUUUGGUUGCCAGCCUCAUGACCACCAAGUGAAUUGUAUACUACUAAUUUUCUUUACCAUUUGACCUAUUGUUACUUGAGUGUUUUCACUCAGAGUGUCAUAAAAACUCUCAGCAAUGGAUCUCUUGGCUCCCA
This 310-nucleotide unclassified non-coding RNA is filed under the name fungal sp. Its description in RNAcentral is "partial internal transcribed spacer region". The stretch from base 1 to 46 matches the Rfam family "Eukaryotic small subunit ribosomal RNA", at positions 1786 to 1831 of the family's 1831-position model. Lineage: Eukaryota; Fungi. The record is from RNAcentral.